Molecule: ribosomal RNA, 372 nt
Filed under: uncultured organism
Description: bacterial SSU rRNA
Rfam family: Bacterial small subunit ribosomal RNA
Source: RNAcentral
CGUAGGUGGCAAGCGUUGUCCGGAUUUACUGGGCGUAAAGAGCGCGCAGGCGGUUGUGCAAGUCGCGUGUGAAAGCCCCCGGCUCAACUGGGGAGGGUCACGCGAUACUGCUCAACUCGAAGGCAGGAGAGGGAAGUGGAAUUCCCGGUGUAGUGGUGAAAUGCGUAGAUAUCGGGAGGAACACCAGUGGCGAAGGCGACUUCCUGGCCUGUUCUUGACGCUGAGGCGCGAAAGCUAGGGUAGCAAACGGGAUUAGAUACCCCGGUAGUCCUAGCCGUAAACGAUGGACACUAGGUGUUGGUGGUAUCAACCCCGCCAGUGCCGAAGCUAACGCAUUAAGUGUCCCGCCUGGGGAGUACGGCCGCAAGGCUA